AGUGAACGCUGGCGGUAGGCCUAACACAUGCAAGUCGAACGGCAGCACAGUAAGAGCUUGCUCUUACGGGUGGCGAGUGGCGGACGGGUGAGGAAUACAUCGGAAUCUACUUUUUCGUGGGGGAUAACGCAGGGAAACUUACGCUAAUACCGCAUACGACCUACGGGUGAAAGCAGGGGAUCUUCGGACCUUGCGCGAUUGAAUGAGCCGAUGUCGGAUUAGCUAGUUGGCGGGGUAAAGGCCCACCAAGGCGACGAUCCGUAGCUGGUCUGAGAGGAUGAUCAGCCACACUGGAACUGAGACACGGUCCAGACUCCUACGGGAGGCAGCAGUGGGGAAUAUUGGACAAUGGGCGCAAGCCUGAUCCAGCCAUACCGCGUGGGUGAAGAAGGCCUUCGGGUUGUAAAGCCCUUUUGUUGGGAAAGAAAAGCAGCAGGUUAAUACCCCGCUGUUCUGACGUUACCCAAAGAAUAAGCACCGGCUAACUUCGUG
RNAcentral lists this ribosomal RNA (492 nucleotides) under uncultured bacterium. RNAcentral describes it as "partial 16S ribosomal RNA". It matches the Rfam family "Bacterial small subunit ribosomal RNA", at positions 29 to 507 of the family's 1533-position model. The record is from RNAcentral.